CCAGACUCCUACGGGAGGCAGCAGUGGGGAAUAUUGCACAAUGGGGGAAACCCUGAUGCAGCGACGCCGCGUGAGUGAAGAAGUAUUUCGGUAUGUAAAGCUAUAUCAGCAGGAACGAGACAAGACGGUACCUGACUAAGAAGCCCCGGCUAACUACGUGCCAGCAGCCGCGGUAAUACGUAGGGGGCAAGCGUUAUCCGGAAUCACUGGGUGUAAAGGGAGCGUAGGCGGGACGGCAAGUCAGAUGUGAAAACUGAGGGCUCAACUUUCAGACUGCAUUUGAAACUGCUGUUCUUGAGUGAAGUAGAGGUAAGCGGAAUUCCUAGUGUAGCGGUGAAAUGCGUAGAUAUUAGGAGGAACAUCGGUGGCGAAGGCGGCUUACUGGGCUUUUACUGACGCUGAAGCUCGAAAGCGUGGGGAGCAAACAGGAUUAGAUACCCGAGUAU
This 446-nucleotide ribosomal RNA is filed under the name uncultured bacterium. RNAcentral describes it as "bacterial SSU rRNA". It matches the Rfam family "Bacterial small subunit ribosomal RNA", at positions 331 to 793 of the family's 1533-position model. The record is from RNAcentral.